This 234-nucleotide ribosomal RNA is filed under the name uncultured bacterium. RNAcentral describes it as "partial 16S ribosomal RNA". It matches the Rfam family "Bacterial small subunit ribosomal RNA", at positions 96 to 334 of the family's 1533-position model. The record is from RNAcentral.
CGGCGAACGGGUGAGUAACGCGUGGAUAACCUACCCAGAGGUGGGGGAUAACCCGGGGAAACUCGGGCUAAUACCGCAUAUGACCGUGAGGUCAAAGGCGGCUCGCAAGAGCUGUCGCCAUUGGAGGGGUCCGCGUACGAUUAGCUAGUUGGUAGGGUAAUGGCCUACCAAGGCGACGAUCGUUAGCCGGCCUGAGAGGGUGAUCGGCCACACUGGAACUGAGACACGGUCCAG